UACGAAGGGGGCUAGCGUUGCUCGGAAUCGCUGGGCGUAAAGGGCGCGUAGGCGGCCAUUUAAGUCGGGGGUGAAAGCCUGUGGCUCAACCACAGAAUUGCCUUCGAUACUGGAUGGCUUGAGACCGGAAGAGGUAAGUGGAACUGCGAGUGUAGAGGUGAAAUUCGUAGAUAUUCGCAAGAACACCAGUGGCGAAGGCGGCUUACUGGUCCGGUUCUGACGCUGAGGCGCGAAAGCGUGGGGAGCAAACAGG
Molecule: ribosomal RNA, 253 nt
Filed under: uncultured bacterium
Lineage: Bacteria
Description: partial 16S ribosomal RNA
Rfam family: Bacterial small subunit ribosomal RNA
Source: RNAcentral